UGGGAACCUCUUGCUGACUGGAGUUUGGCCCUCUCAGUCGUGCGCGCCUGAACUCUGAAUGUGCCGCAGUGUCAGUCUCGGGCCAAGCCGCGGAGCAGCUGUUCCAGUGUGGUUUUCCUGAACCACACUCUUACACCAAGCCCUUUGGGACAAGAACGCUUUGACUAAUCAUUAAGGAUUUCACAACCAGAUGAGACAACAGCUCUUAGGUUAAUUAUCAGAGUACUUAACAUGUAAGUAAAUGUACAUUUAUAUCAUAGCCAUGGUGGUGCACAGCUGUAAUCCCAGCACCUGGGAGGUUGAGGCAGGAGAAUCACUGCAAGUUCAAGGCCAGCCUGGGCUACAUAGUGAGACCCUGUCUCAACCUCCCCGCGCCAAAUACAUGCAUACAUUUAUAUGUAAUAUGCACAAUGUGAUUACAAAUAUGGUGUUUCAAUUUUUAUGAAUUUAUUACAGUAAGAAAUACACAUUAAUCCCCUCAAAGUACUCCUCACUUUGAACAGUCUUAUCCCUUGACCUUGCCUCUUUCUGAAGCAUUUCUGGAAGUCAGAUCCAGUGAACAAGGUGUAAAUGAGGACGCAUUGUCAUUUUUCUGUCACCUGCUUUUCCUUUGGGUUGCACUUGACCCCAGCAUUUGCUGUUAUUUUGUUUUUGUUUUGAUUUUGGGGGGAUUUUUUGUUUGUGUUUUUUUGAUACUGGGGCUCGAACUUGGGACGUUGGGCUUGGGAGGCGGGCAGCAGAACCACUGAGCUAAAUCCCCAGCCCUUGCUGUAUUUUUAAUCCCACCUCAUAGAGACAUUUAUGGAAGCAGACUUCCAGAACUCCUUUUAGAAGGUGCCAGGACUGAUGGGAUAAAUGUGUUUAAAGGGGGAGUAUUUUGAGGAGAGUUAAUGGCAAUGUAUAUUUUACUGUGUUUUUUAAUUUACACAUUGUACAUUUUGAUCACAUCUGGUUUGGUAGAAGUGUCAUCCCCAGGUGUCCACAGGACAUUGGUUCCAAGACCCCGUUUGGAAACAGAAAUCCUCCCAUGUGCAAGUCCCUUCUGUAAAACAGUAUAGCAUUCUUAUACAAGCUAUACACAUCCUCCUGUAUGGUUUGAAUCAUGUCUAGGUUACUUAAUUUAAAUAAUUUAAUACAGCAUAAGUUAUAUGUAAAUAGCUAUUGUGCUGUAUUAUUUAGGAAAUAAUGACCAGGAAAAAAAUCUGUACAUGUUCACUGCAGAUGAUUUUUUCCCCCAAAAUUU
Molecule: long non-coding RNA, 1243 nt
Filed under: Heterocephalus glaber (naked mole-rat)
Lineage: Eukaryota; Metazoa; Chordata; Mammalia; Rodentia; Bathyergidae
Description: lncRNA (ENSHGLG00100036310.1)
Source: RNAcentral